AUGCAUGUCUAAGUACAAGCCUCACUAAGGUGAAACCGCGAAUGGCUCAUUAUAUCACACCUAAUCUACUGGAUAGUUAACAGUUACUUGGAUAACUGCGGUAAUUCUGGAGCUAAUACAUGCACAAAGCCCCAAACUUACGUGAGGGGCGCUUUUAUUAGAUCAAAACCAAUCGGCUUCGGCUGAACUCUUGGUGACUCUGAAUAACUUUGGGCUGAUCGCAUAGCCUAGCGCUGGCGACAUAUCCUCCGAAGGUGUGCCCUAUCAACUGUCGACUGUGGCAUAGACGCCCACAGUGGUUUUGACGGGUAACGGGGAAUCAGGGUUCGAUUCCGGAGAGGGAGCCUUAAAAACGGCUACCACAUCUAAGGAAGGCAGCAGGCACGCAAAUUACCCAAUGACCGAAGGUCGAGGUAGUGACGAAAAAUAACGAUACAGGACUCAUCUGAGGCCCUGUAAUCGGAAUGAGUACACUUUAAAACCGUCCCCGAGGAUCUAUUGGAGGGCAAGUCUGGUGCCAGCAGCCGCGGUAAUUCCAGCUCCAAUAGCGUAUAUUAAAGUUGUUGUGGUUAAAAAGCUCGUAGUUGGAUCUCGGCGGUCUGAGGGCGGUGGUCUUCAGAGAUCUACUGCCCUAUAGACCGUAGUUUUGCCAGAGGUCUCAGGGUGCUCUUAACCGAGUGUCUUGCGAUGCUGGCAGGUUUACUUUGAAAAAAUUAGAGUGCUCAAAGCAGGCUUUUACGCCUGAAUAUUCGUGCAUGGAAUAAUAGAAUAGGAAGUCGUUUCUAUUUUGUUGGUUUUCGG
This 801-nucleotide ribosomal RNA is filed under the name Pseudocalanus elongatus. RNAcentral describes it as "SSU rRNA". It matches the Rfam family "Eukaryotic small subunit ribosomal RNA", at positions 51 to 854 of the family's 1831-position model. The record is from RNAcentral. Lineage: Eukaryota; Metazoa; Arthropoda; Copepoda; Calanoida; Clausocalanidae.